Molecule: non-coding RNA, 2980 nt
Organism: Salmo salar (Atlantic salmon)
Lineage: Eukaryota; Metazoa; Chordata; Actinopteri; Salmoniformes; Salmonidae
Source: RefSeq, a predicted model, not a curated record
AUUCCGAGUUGUUUUGAACGCAGCAUAACAGUGGAAAAACGCAUGCACGCAGACUUGAGGCUGACGUCACCGAAAAUGAAACGCUCAAAACUAAUCAGCAAGAUCGCACGCUUGAUGAAAUUAAGAUAAUUUCUCCAUGCUUGUCGUAACUGGAACGAUGCAAACACUACAGACGGUGAACUAAGCCUCCCAAAUCAUAUUUUUUGGUUUCCAAGUUUGUCUUGCCGGGAAAGGUGAAUUUUCACGAAGAAAAUCUAGAUGAGUUUGCCUUGGAAUAAAUAACAGACUACUUGCAGGUCUGUCUGCCUUAGCUUCGGAAGAAAAUAAAUCAUGAGAUUGGCAGGGCCUCUGCGAGCUGUUGCUGUGCUGCUAUUGGUGGGCCUCACCUGGGUGUUAGCCAGCUCCAUACUUGGAGGGGACAGCAACUUGGUGGUCAAACACUUCUUCAGUGGGACAAACGAAGAGCCAACCACUGAGCCCAAACCACGCAGGUACAAGUGUGGUCUGUCGGCUCCCUGUCCUCAGAAACAUCUGGCUUUCCGCGUCGUCUCUGGAGCCGCCAACGUCAUUGGGCCCAAAAUCUGCCUGGAGGAUAAGAUCCUUGUCAGCAGUGUCAACAACAAUGUUGGUAGAGGACUAAACGUUGCUUUAGUAAAUGGGGUAUCUGGAGAGCUCUUGGACACAAAAUCAUUUGAUAUGUGGGCAGGAGAUGUUACUGACCUGUUGAAGUAUCUCCUGCCGUUACAUGAGGGAACACUUGUGUUUGUAGCUUCCUUUGAUGAUCCUGCCACAAAGUUAAAUGAUGAGGCUCGUCGCCUGUUUGAGGAGCUGGGUAGCACAGCAGUGAAGGAGCUCACCUUCAGAGACAGCUGGGUGUUUGUAGGAGCCAAGGGCAUCGAGAACAAGAGUCCAUUCGAACAGCGUAUGAAGAACAGUAAGAACAGUAACAAGUAUGAAGGCUGGCCUGAGUCUCUGGAAAUGGACGGCUGUGUCCCCCUCCGUUCCCCUUCAGAGGGUUAAACACUCUGCUUGUAUCACUCCCUUCCUCCACUCUUCUCAGAUGAUGCUUAUGCCCUACAUGGAUCCAAUGCUUUUAUAUACUGGGAGUGUGCAAGACAACUGCACACUUUGGGAGUGAAGGCCUCUGGCUCUAAGGAUGAGCAGCACAGAUCUAUCUGGAGAAACUGUAGCAGCAGAAGCAGUGACUAUGACAUUUUGACUAGCCUCGAUUUACAGGCUUCCUCACAUUCCUUCUCAUUAAUGAAACUUGUAGACGGACUGGGACCAUAAAUUUCCCCCUGCAUUUCUAUCACACCGGACCUUUUUUGUAUCUCUCGGCACCCAUUAAUAGCCAAAUGGUCAUUUAGACAAGCCCACUUAAUGGGCUUAAGAUGGCCCUAUGGCCAGUCUGUCCCUAAUGAGACUUGAGUAUGGUAUUGGUAUUGCACGACUACAGUUGGAUGAAUGAUGCUCUGUUACAAUAUCAUGUAACUACAGGGAGGUCAAGACUCGUAAAUUUUUUUUCUUCACUUUUAGUUUUUUUGUCAAGUAAAACGUGCUGCAAAGGACAUCUUCUCUUAAGUGGACUGCCUCACUGUAACAAUGCUGGCAGCACAACAGGCAAGCUGGCCUGAUGGUUGAUAUGCUAACUUGUUGAAGCAACUGUUUGGACUUGACAUUUGAACUAGGAAUUGAUUUAAGUAUUUGAGGCUUAACGUUCCUGGGAAUGACCACGUAGGAGGACAUGGAUAUUUCAGAGACCAAACGUUUGAUGCACAGAUAAGGGAAGAAGAAAAAGAUGCUGGAUAGAAUAAAUGAGAGGUAAUGUCUGUAAAACCCUGUAAAUGCACAGGAAGAGGGCGGAUAAUGCUGCCUAUAUGAACGGAAAUCGCGAACAAAAUACAAUUAGGGUUCAUAGCUACACUAGUACUUCACUAGUAACAUGUUAUUGCUGGCUGUUCUAGGAAGGAUAUUGUAUGUUGUGAUAAAUUAAGAUUAAAAUGCAUUAAUAUAUAUUUUGUAUGCAUAGUUUUAAUAUAUUAAAUUGUAGAUUUCAAUCUAGUUGUGCUAGCCUGAGUGUCUGUCUGUUCCAUCAUGCCAACUCUCAGCCAACUCGUCAUGUCAAACAUUUGGCUUGACAAGGUGCAAUGGAGUUGCCAGAAGCACAAACAGAUCUGGGACCAGGUUAAAGUGCUAAUAACAUCCACCUUUUAGUUGAGGGUUACCCUGGGUGUGGGCUACACCAAUGCCACGAUUACUGUAUAUAUGUGAUAACCUUUUGUAUGCUUGCAAUGCGCAGUGAUGGGAAGGUACUGGGUAAAUGGAGAUGUCCUGCUUUAGUUCUCAGGCUGAGAAUUGUCUGCACCUGCUGAUAGUAGAGAGAGAAACCACAGUCUAGACAUGUUUUUCUCAUCUUAGAUACUUUGUAUCUAAUCCAAUGCAACAAUGUUAAGAUAUGAUUGACGGUAGGUUGUAUAAAGAGUGUUGUCUCUUGUUUCGCACCACAGGUCUUUACUAUUGAGCUAUUCUGUAUGUGAAACUCUGUCUGCAAUUGCAGUUUAUUACUAAAGAGUUUUAUACCGAGGUUCCUGUGUCUGUGUCAUCUGAAAGACUAAUUGCUAAAGGAAACUUUUAUCACCCCAUGCAAAGGACCAAGCAACAUUUUCUUAGAGAGAACAUUGAUUGCUGCACAGCUAGUUUACCCAAAUACAUUCUGUCAACAUUUGCUUAUCUUUAAUGAUUAAUUAUUUAACUUGAAAUAGAACUAGCCUAGUCUAGAAUCCUAAAGAUACUUAUUAUACCUCGUAGGCUAUAUUCAUGGUUUGAUUUCACACUAAAGUGGACUUCAGUGCCUAAAAUAAACAUGAUUGUACUGUUGGAUAACAACACUAUUCGUGCUUUUACCUGUGUAUCUCAGGCCUUGUUCUUAGUGUUGUUUAUUUGGAUAUUGUAUCACUUUAUUAAAUUUUUUUCAAUUUGA